Unclassified non-coding RNA from Erinaceus europaeus (western European hedgehog), 327 nucleotides. Its record names the gene 7SK. It matches the Rfam family "7SK RNA". From Rfam's summary of the family: 7SK was discovered as an abundant small nuclear RNA in the mid-70s but a possible function has only recently been suggested. Two independent studies have found that 7SK RNA binds the CDK9/cyclin T complex (known as elongation factor P-TEFb). The record is from Ensembl. Lineage: Eukaryota; Metazoa; Chordata; Mammalia; Eulipotyphla; Erinaceidae.
GGAUGUGAGGGUGAUCUGGCUGGACGUGUCACCCCAUUGAUCUCCAGGGUUGAUUUGGCUGAUUGGCUGGCUAGGCGGGUGUCCUCUUCCUCAGUCACAGCUCCAUGUGCAUCCCUCCUGAAGCUGCGAGCUUAGUCUAAGAGGACAGCCUUCCCCAAUAGAGACUGAUCAGUUUGGUCAAGGGUAUAGGAGUAGCUGCGCUCCCCUGCUAGAACCUCCAAACAAGCUCUCAAGGACAGAGAGAAAUUGAGAGAGGAGGGUAAGACGGAGAGGGGAAGAGAAAGAUAGACACCUGCACACUUGCUUCACCACCUGUGAAGCAACUGC